Chinchilla lanigera (long-tailed chinchilla) is the source of this 2093-nucleotide long non-coding RNA. RefSeq lists it as uncharacterized. The record is from RefSeq and is a predicted model, not a curated record. The transcript is spliced from 3 exons. NCBI's taxonomy places the organism in Eukaryota, Metazoa, Chordata, Mammalia, Rodentia, Chinchillidae.
AGCACUUGCACGCAGGCGCAGUCCUGUGCUCGCCGCCGGGGCACAGGGCAGAAAGUAGAGUCGCUGUUAGGGUUCUCCAACGGUGCUGACUGUGUGGGCUUCGCUUGCACCACCGCCUGGGCUGUUCUGUAAACCCCUUCGCCGGCUUGAUCACCUCAGUCCGCCAGAGGUCCACCUGAAAUCCGCCAGAAAAAUCCGCCCACGAAGAGGGCGCUCAAGCCUCCUAUGCCAGGUGCAGAAGGCGCCACACCUACGGCCACUCACCUACUUAAAAGGCGGCAUAACACUGAUCAGUUAGUGCGUGAUUUUUAAAUCACAGUUCCAAACUAGCGAGAGAAAAGCUGAAAUCGUCAUGCGAAUAUUUCUCACCACUUUCAUCCACCUCUUUACCUGCAUUUUCCCUCUUUACCAUGGCAAGUGGAAAGUCACCGGAGGAGGUGAGGGGAAGGCAGAAAAUGUGAAAAGAGGAACUCAAUAAAGACAAGACUCAAUAAAAGCAAGACCGCCAAGAGUAGCGAUCCUUUAUGAACAAAGGUUUGUGUCACUAUAAAGAUAAAGGUCCACAACUAGCCAAAGACUAAAACAGUGGGAAUGUGGAAAUAGAAGUGACAGAGGGAAGUGUCAAGAAAACUGAUCUCUGGAUUCUCAUGCUGCUUUUUGGGCAUUUACUUAUUUGAGAUGCAUGUUUUCCUCUGAAAAGAAUAGAUCAAUCACAGGUAAUGACAAUGGCUUGGUCUUUUCUCUCUUGAACAAGGUGAUUACUAUACUCUGCUUCCAAACCAUCCUCACUAAAAUCAUUGUAGGUUUAAGAGGUAAAGAGUUGCUUAGAAACUUCAGGAGCCCUCAACUUUUUGAAAUGUUCCUUUUGAAACUUUGAUGAAAUCAAAGCCAUACAGCUUCUGCCCAGAAAUGUUGAUAGGGAAAAACUAUUGCAUAGGAUUUGGCAUGAACACACCACUGAACCUCCUGCAGAGACAAACUAGUAGUCCAAAGAUCUAAAUCAAGAUCUCCUGAGCUAAACCAAUGCUCUGCCUACAGAUGAAAAAAAAACAGGUCCAGAGAGGAAAAACAGCCCAUUGAGAGAUAAAGGAAUACAGAACCCAGGCUUCCUGCUCAUUAGACUUUUAUGCUGUCCCCAUUGCCUCUUUGGAUACCAUAAGAUUCCCUUUGCCCCCAGCCUCCAUCUAUGGAGCCCUGGAGUUUAGAAUAUCUUCUAUAAUUCUCUGUAUCUUACCACUGUUGGACUCACAGCAGAAGCUAGCCCAAGUUUAGCUCUUAUCUAACACAGAGCAGCAUAAUCCUGUUGUUCCAGCUACUCAGGAGACUGAGGCAGGAGGAUCACAUGAGCUCAUGAGUUCCACACCAGCCUAGGCAACACAGUGAGCCCCUGUGUUACCAUCAAUUGUGGUAUAUCAACUCAACUGGGUAGGAAACACCUAGCAAAUUAGUGGAGCACAGUUCUGGGUGUGUCUAUGGAUAGCUGACAUAUAGGCCACAGAUUGAGGGGGGAAGACCAAAUCUGAAUGUGGGUGGCACCAAACAAUAGGUUUGUAGCCUGGAUGGAAAAGGGGGGUGGGGAGAAAGAAGUACAAUCUUAUUGAAGAGCUUCAGUCCUCUUGAGUAGGUGUGGCCUAUGCUGCUAUCGCCUUUGGACCUGGGUCUCCAGGUCUCCGGUGUCUUCAGCCUCCAAUGCAUCCACAACCCUCCAGGGAGCUUCCAGACCUUGAACUGGUGCUGCAUCCUUGAUCCCUCUUGUUCUGCGGCUUCUGGCUUCAUGGUUCAGCAGCUCCUGAAUCCUCUGGCUCUCCAGCAUGCAGAUGACCAUUGUAAGCUCGCACCUCUGACCCUGUGAGCUACCUAAUACAUCCUCUUGCAUAAUUCUACAUCUAUUUUCUAUGGACUCUGCUCCUCUACAGAACCCUAACUAAUAUACCCUGUCACAGAAAACAAGCUAGGAAAUUUAGUGGGGAACAAUAGGUACAAAGUUGAGUUCCUUAUAUUAAAGGAGGAAUUUAUCUUUUUUUAAAAGACUAUAUCAAAACCCAGAACUAAAGUUUAAAUUAAAAUGACCCAGUGAUGCAGGCUUUCCUUUC